AUGGUAAGUCGAACGAAGAAGGGAAGUUGUGUUUGUCCAUUAGAUGUUGAUGCCGACUUUUGUAGCUUUUGAGCUUCAUACCACAUCCCUCAACAAGGCAUUCAUACUGUUACAUAAUAUGAAAAUUAAAGGGUAAAAUAGAAAGAACAAAAAUCAGCUAUCAACAAUCAGUCUUUACUUUUACAAGAAAAUAUGAUUAUUAUUUCAAUAAUAUAUGUAACAUAAGUUUAAAGUGCAUAAAACAAUAGUUUUGACACAUUUCUAUAUAGGGGAAAGUAGUAUUUUCUCUCUCCCCUAAAAAGGAUUCAACUUUCGAAAGAAAAUGUUAACAAAUUAAACUUUCAAAAAUUCGUCCCCAUGGUCUGGUCAAAGUUAUAGAUAUCGUUCCUUGUGCAAGCUAUUUACGAAUAUUGUUACUACUUUCACUGUUUGUUUUCACCCACGGUCCCUCGGACAGUUAGAAUGACCAACCAAACUAGCCUUCCCCGGCCUGUUUAGACCCAAAACACUGAUUGUGAAGUGCAACAGAAGAUGAAGAAUUACCAUAGCAUAACCUCGUGCGACUUUUGCUUGGAAGAAAGAAUCGUGUGCCUCUGAUACGUGUAUGCCAAGCAGGCGAGAUGUAGGGUAUACUCUAGAACAGACAGAACAAGAAGCUGUAUGCCUUGCAUUGUAAUGAUCUUCAAACUCUACCAACGAUCUCAAAUUGGCUCCACAACCAACAAUUGGACAGCUCACUUCACUGGUCAAACAAAAAAGUAGAUCAAACAAUGUCUUGGAUACUGGUAAUUCAGUUAUAGCCACCUCAGCAGAGAAAUGCCAUAUAAGCAAGAAACAGGUCAUCAGGUUAUCAGAUUACCAAAUUACCCAUUUCAAUAAAGUGUAAUUACCAGGUCAGGGCAUAUUGAGUUUAACUACCAAAAUGGAACAUCAGCCUUAGUACAUAACUAUUUAAUGACUAGCCCAUGUUGCUUACAAUUGUACAGCGUACUAAAGAGUAAAGAUCAAUUCAUCAAAAUAAGGCAUGUAGUAAGUCUAUAAAACGAUCCCAUAUGAUGCACAAAUGUGUAUUUCACCUAAGAUAGUAAGAAUAAUAAACGAUGAAUAAGUGAUGUUGGCAUACAUUAAAGACAAAUGAAAUCAAAUAAACAUUACAACCUAGAAAAGGUUGAUUAUGUGUUAAAACUCUAAUGUUUCUCUAUGGAUUUUAAUAUACUUGAAUGUUGAUAAACAUAACUUGUUUUCAAAUGAAAUCAGAGACACUAGGACCCAUAUUAGAAUAAUUUUCAAUUUAAAUACAUGAAUGUGGACAAACAUAUCUUCUUUUCUCUUCACUUCACGGCCUACAUCAAUACACCUAAGCCAAGACUGGGUAGUCAUUAUAAUUUGCAUCUUGUGACAAGUAACAUAAAUCAAAAUAAAGUAAAAUAAAAAGUCCGACAGUACCUGUCAGCAUCAUCCAAAUUUCUAAGCUGCUGUUUUUCCUCUUCAGUAAGAUCCAGUGCAACCUGGACAUCAACAAGAAAGAGUAUUAUCUUUAGUCAAACUCAUUUUAAAAUAAAGGAGGCCAACGAAAGAUGGCAAACUAAUUAGAAAUGUUGGGCUGCUGGCAGAUUAUUUCCACCAUUCUCUGAAUCUCCGAGUAAAGCUGAAAUGGGCAGUGAUGACUUUGCAUAACAAAACGGGGAUGAACAAAUAGAUAUAAGCCAUCCAGGCAUUGGAUUUGCAGACUGGACAUAAGCAGAUAUCUAGAAGCAGUGCUCACAAAAAGUGCUCAUCUUAUUAAAACUUAUUUAUAUUAACUAAUACAAUGACAUCGAUGGUAUAACAACAACAGUUACAUACCUUUCUACUUGAAAUAGAAGUUGGUUUUGAUCAUUAAAGGUGUAAAAAUUGUUUUGGUAGCAUAUAAUAAGAGAAAUUGCCAGGUCAUUAUAGUUUUAUACAGGAUCAAGUUCAUCACCAUUCACCAAUUUGUAAAUUUCAUCAGUAAUUAACAAUAAUUUAUCACCAACUUUAUCAAGUAGAUGCAUGGUCAAUUUAAAAACCGCAACGGUGCAGUUCCUUCUGAACUAUUUAAUAGAAAUUUACAUCCAGUAAAUCAAAAACAUCUCUACCAUACUUACUAGUCCAAAUAC
Molecule: long non-coding RNA, 2138 nt
Filed under: Helianthus annuus (common sunflower)
Lineage: Eukaryota; Viridiplantae; Streptophyta; Magnoliopsida; Asterales; Asteraceae
Description: hypothetical non coding rna
Source: RNAcentral